This 1953-nucleotide unclassified non-coding RNA is filed under the name Cimex lectularius (bed bug). RNAcentral's name for it is "nuclear distribution protein nudE-like 1-A, transcript variant X4". The record is from RNAcentral. Lineage: Eukaryota; Metazoa; Arthropoda; Insecta; Hemiptera; Cimicidae.
AACGGUGAUUCACAGCGCUGACUGGAGGGGCAUCAGACACGUUUUUCCUUCCGACAUAUUGAGAUUUUUUUAAGUUUUGACAAUUUUUAUUUAUUUUUUUUGUUCAAUUCGUGUCUCGUUUUUUGUGAGGGUGGUUCGUCGAUGCGCUGUUGACCUUCGUCUGAGAUCUGUGGAGCCGUUAUCUUUCUGAAGGUAACUGCUUCAGAGUCUAAACAAUGAGCAAGCCUGUAAAAGACGCCGAGUAUUGGAAGAGCAAGUGCGAUGAACUCGAAAAGGAGCUUGAAGACUUCCAAGAGAGCUCACAUAUGCUUGAAAAGGAGCUCGAGAGCUCUUUGGAGCAGUCCGAAAAAACAAUCAAAGAGCUUAGGCGCAAGACCAACUCGCUGCAGUUUGAAAAUGACUCUUUGAAGGAUAAGUAUGAUGAACUUAAAAAAAGGACGGAAGCACAGAUCACAGAGCUGGAAGAGGAAGCAGCGCAGAGUCACAAAAGGGAGGAAGAAUACGUGAAAUACAUACGAGAGCUGGAACAAAAAAACGAUGACCUAGAACGAGCUCAAAGAGCUACAUAUACUUCUUUAGGAGAAUUUGAAACUAAAUUGAACUCAGCUUUAGAACGAAACGUGCUUUUAGAAUCCGAACUAGAUGAAAAAGAAUUACUUAAAUCGAUGGUUCAAAGGUUAAAAGAUGAAACAAGAGACUUAAAACAGGAGAUCGAGGUGAGAGGGAAGUGCAAUCACCACAGUAACGACCAUACGCGAAUUGUGGACACGAACAAGCUAGACUCCGAGAGCAACUCGUCGCCUGGUCAUAACCCCCCUCUGAAAAGUUUGAACGGGCUGAGCACGUCAAGAGUUUCCGCUGCAAACAUAGUCAGCGAAUUGCUUCGAACUGUUGGACUUGAGAGGUUGCUGUGUGCACGUUGCAACAAGAUCAAGUGCAUCUGCUCCACCCCGAUCCUUGCCACAAUCAAAUGACAUUCCUUCCUAAUCCUAAUCCUAAUUGAAAUAAUUCUUUUAAGUCAUUUGAACAAUUGUGAUCCUGUGAUUAUUAUGAUUUAUGAUUUUUAUUUAAUUGUUAGUCAAUUAAUCGAUUAAUUCAGUUCUCGAGUCGGAAAUGCUCAAAUUACUAGCUAAAUCAAAUUCCUAGUUAUAACAAUUUUAUUUUAUUUUAUUUUUUAAACUGUGAUGCAACAAAUAAACAGGAUAAUAAAGACGAUUUUGUGUUUUCAAAAUUGAAACUAAUUAUUUAAAUUAUUCACACUUUUUAUGUAAGGUCUUGGUUGGGAUGAAAAAUAAAGUAUAAUUAAUUUAAAUAAUUAAUACAGUCGAUUAUGACUACUAAAUAUGUGGAUUAAUUUAAACUAAUUUUUAUCAAAGUGAUAUAAUGCUCAAUUAAUCUGUGCCUAACUAGUUUUUAUCGAUUUUUUAAAAUCCGCCAAAGAUUUACAAUAAUGAAAAAAGUUAAAAAACAAGUAUAUUUUUGUAAAUAGAUAAUUUGUAAAUAAUGAAAUGUACCUGAAUGUAAUUACAAUUCUUUCACAACUUGAAAUUUCCAUAGAGCACUACAUAAAAUUGCACACGAUUAGAAGUUUCCUAUUCCUUUCACCCUCCACCCCUUUUUUUGUCCCCACGUCACAAAUUUGGAGUGCCUUGGAAGAUAUCUGGAACGUUCCUGAAUAAUGAAUUCAAAUUGAAAGGUUUUGGAAUCGAAACUGAUAGUGAGGGCGAAUCAGAGGGAUUUUGUGUCUCAAAACGACAGUGCCGGAAAGGACCAUAUGAGGGAAUCGGAGUCGGGAAAACAGAAUUUGAUAAAGGCAGUUUCUUUAACGCAGAUCUGCUCUUGAAUAGUUUGGAGGGGAAAACUAAACAGAGGAGCAUCUUCGCCGUCUAUCCACAAUCUUGUGCGGUCUUAGACCUAUUAUUAUUCUCUACUGCUAAUAGAUCGCUAAGCUGA